GGGGAUGUCAGGUUUCGACAGGGCUCAGGGACCGGAGAUCGCAGGUCGAGGUCGCCCGCAGGCCUCGUUAAACCGCGGGCAAAGCCAGUAACUGGCAACAACAGUUACGCUUUCGCUGCUUAGUCAGUGAACAUCGACGCCGUCCCCCCUCCCCGGACGGCGAAGAUGUCAUCAGGGGAGGUGCGGCGCUGCCGACUCCGGUGAGCAACGUCAAAGAGCCGAGAGGCAUCACCGGAUAGCAAGCGGAACACCCCGCCGGUCGGGGGUCCGCAACGCGAAUCGCUAAGUUGGCCGGAAAUACCUGUAGGAAGUCUCCGGCGACUCGGUUCUGGACGGGGAGUUCGAUUCUCCCCCAUCUCCACCA
This 364-nucleotide transfer-messenger RNA is filed under the name Chloroflexota bacterium. It matches the Rfam family "transfer-messenger RNA". From Rfam's summary of the family: Bacterial tmRNA, also known as 10Sa RNA or SsrA, is named for its dual tRNA and mRNA-like properties. Lineage: Bacteria; Bacillati; Chloroflexota. The record is from RNAcentral.